GGCUGCCAUCCUUAGACAUUCGUUGUGUGGUACUCUACUCCAAAGAGUGGCAAUCAUGUGUAAUUAGAUGUGAUUGACACCUCUGUGAGUGGAGUAACAUGUGACACAUGCGGCACAGGUGAUGGCACUGUAG
Molecule: microRNA precursor, 133 nt
Organism: Equus caballus (horse)
Lineage: Eukaryota; Metazoa; Chordata; Mammalia; Perissodactyla; Equidae
Source: Ensembl